GGCGGCGUAGCUCAGCUGGCUAGAGCAUUCGGUUCAUACCCGACAGGUCAUUGGUUCAAAUCCGAUCGCCGCUACCA
Molecule: transfer RNA, 77 nt
Filed under: Clostridiales bacterium
Lineage: Bacteria; Bacillati; Bacillota; Clostridia; Eubacteriales
Description: tRNA-Met
Rfam family: tRNA
About the family: Transfer RNA (tRNA) molecules are approximately 80 nucleotides in length. Their secondary structure includes four short double-helical elements and three loops (D, anti-codon, and T loops).
Source: RNAcentral